AACAAGGCUCUAUUUAGAGCCAUAAUAAGUCCCCCCACCUUAUUA
Molecule: non-coding RNA, 45 nt
Organism: Equus caballus (horse)
Lineage: Eukaryota; Metazoa; Chordata; Mammalia; Perissodactyla; Equidae
Source: Rfam